Homo sapiens (human) is the source of this 147-nucleotide non-coding RNA. It matches the Rfam family "Metazoan signal recognition particle RNA". From Rfam's summary of the family: The signal recognition particle (SRP) is a universally conserved ribonucleoprotein. The record is from Rfam. NCBI's taxonomy places the organism in Eukaryota, Metazoa, Chordata, Mammalia, Primates, Hominidae.
GCUGGGCAUGGUGGUGUGUGCCUGUAAUCCCAGCUACUUGGGAGGCUGAGGCAGGAGAAUCGCUUGAACUUGGGAGGCAGAGGUUGCUGUGAGCCAAGAUUGCGCCACUCACUCUAGCCUGAGUGACAGAGCGAGAUUCUGCCUCAA